Molecule: long non-coding RNA, 1129 nt
Filed under: Heterocephalus glaber (naked mole-rat)
Lineage: Eukaryota; Metazoa; Chordata; Mammalia; Rodentia; Bathyergidae
Description: lncRNA (ENSHGLG00000043266.1)
Source: RNAcentral
CUCUGCCUGGCUGUGUGACCCUUGGGCCGAACCCAGAAGCCACACUGAGUGGGGGAGGCACCUAAGCCUCUUUGCAGCUCUGCAGGAAACUGAGUGACCCACAGGAAAAUGUAUCGCAGCAGACGAAAGUGCACCUUCACUUCAAGUUUGAAGGCCUGGUCGCCGGAGCAGAGCAGCCGAGAGCCCGGAGACGACCCCGCGCGGAGCUGGGGUUCAGUGCGGGUGCCAGACGCGUCCGCCUGGGUCUCCAGCCCUUCCGUGUGGGCGGCGCAGCCCCCGCCCCCUGCCCCAUUGGCUGCCGCCCUGCGGCCCAAAUAAAUCAGCGGGGACAGGCCGCGCCAGGCCCGGCUGCCGAGGCAGAGCUCGGCCAGGGCCAGCGGGGCCCCAGCGGCCCCGGAGAGGCCGGAGGAGAGAGGAGGACCUCUGAAGAAAGAAAAACAAAAGCAAGGAAAAGAAAGCAGCAAAUCUGAGAAACACGAUUUAAAAAAUACAAUUGGAUUCAAAGGAAAUAAAGCGUCCAGAACAUUUACGUAACUGCUUACACACGAGCUUUGCAAAAUGCAGUCCGUUUCAACACUUGGUCCAACUCGCCACGGGACCGGGACCGAAGCGCUGCGAAACCUUGGACGCCGCGGUGGGAACCUUUCUGGGGGCUGCAGUCGAUCGAACUCGGGUUAAAAUUUAAAGCCCUGGAUCCGGCUCCGUGGCCGGUCUUCCCUCCAUUCCGGAGUUUUCCACCUUUACCCUUUCCCAACUCGCUGCGACUGGGACCCGCGCGGGGCCGGGGGCUGGCGAGGAGCGACGUCAUAAAAGUGACUAAAUCGGGCGAGAACGGUUUAUGGACUUUCUCGGUAGCAAUUUAAAAUUCAGGUCUUCAGCAGCAAUUUACAACGAAUGAGAAACGGAGAAUUUCCGUCCACUUCCUGGAUUCCCCAUCCCGCACUGCCGCCCCCACCCUCCCCAGGUUCCCAACUCACGUUCCAGGACCAGGAAACCCUGCUUGCGAAGAGCCCUCGCCGUCCCUGCGAGCCCCGCUUUACCACGAACCUCCCUACCCCAGUUCAGCUCUGCCCAGGCGCCUCUCCCUUCCCCAACUGGAAAAGCACAGAAAUAAAUAUUAAAAAAAAAC